This 1461-nucleotide ribosomal RNA is filed under the name uncultured organism. RNAcentral describes it as "SSU rRNA". It matches the Rfam family "Bacterial small subunit ribosomal RNA". The record is from RNAcentral.
UGAACGCUGGCGGCAGGCCUAACACAUGCAAGUCGAGCGGUAGCACAGAGAGCUUGCUCUCGGGUGACGAGCGGCGGACGGGUGAGUAAUGUCUGGGAAACUGCCUGAUGGAGGGGGAUAACUACUGGAAACGGUAGCUAAUACCGCAUAACGUCGCAAGACCAAAGUGGGGGACCUUCGGGCCUCAUGCCAUCAGAUGUGCCCAGAUGGGAUUAGCUAGUAGGUGGGGUAACGGCUCACCUAGGCGACGAUCCCUAGCUGGUCUGAGAGGAUGACCAGCCACACUGGAACUGAGACACGGUCCAGACUCCUACGGGAGGCAGCAGUGGGGAAUAUUGCACAAUGGGCGCAAGCCUGAUGCAGCCAUGCCGCGUGUGUGAAGAAGGCCUUCGGGUUGUAAAGCACUUUCAGCGGGGAGGAAGGCGUUAAGGUUAAUAACCUUGGCGAUUGACGUUACCCGCAGAAGAAGCACCGGCUAACUCCGUGCCAGCAGCCGCGGUAAUACGGAGGGUGCAAGCGUUAAUCGGAAUUACUGGGCGUAAAGCGCACGCAGGCGGUCUGUCAAGUCGGAUGUGAAAUCCCCGGGCUCAACCUGGGAACUGCAUUCGAAACUGGCAGGCUAGAGUCUUGUAGAGGGGGGUAGAAUUCCAGGUGUAGCGGUGAAAUGCGUAGAGAUCUGGAGGAAUACCGGUGGCGAAGGCGGCCCCCUGGACAAAGACUGACGCUCAGGUGCGAAAGCGUGGGGAGCAAACAGGAUUAGAUACCCUGGUAGUCCACGCCGUAAACGAUGUCGAUUUGGAGGUUGUGCCCUUGAGGCGUGGCUUCCGGAGCUAACGCGUUAAAUCGACCGCCUGGGGAGUACGGCCGCAAGGUUAAAACUCAAAUGAAUUGACGGGGGCCCGCACAAGCGGUGGAGCAUGUGGUUUAAUUCGAUGCAACGCGAAGAACCUUACCUGGUCUUGACAUCCACAGAACUUUCCAGAGAUGGAUUGGUGCCUUCGGGAACUGUGAGACAGGUGCUGCAUGGCUGUCGUCAGCUCGUGUUGUGAAAUGUUGGGUUAAGUCCCGCAACGAGCGCAACCCUUAUCCUUUGUUGCCAGCGGUCCGGCCGGGAACUCAAAGGAGACUGCCAGUGAUAAACUGGAGGAAGGUGGGGAUGACGUCAAGUCAUCAUGGCCCUUACGACCAGGGCUACACACGUGCUACAAUGGCAUAUACAAAGAGAAGCGACCUCGCGAGAGCAAGCGGACCUCAUAAAGUAUGUCGUAGUCCGGAUUGGAGUCUGCAACUCGACUCCAUGAAGUCGGAAUCGCUAGUAAUCGUAGAUCAGAAUGCUACGGUGAAUACGUUCCCGGGCCUUGUACACACCGCCCGUCACACCAUGGGAGUGGGUUGCAAAAGAAGUAGGUAGCUUAACCUUCGGGAGGGCGCUUACCACUUUGUGAUUCAUGACUGGGGUGA